AAAUUGAAGAGUUUGAUCAUGGCUCAGAUUGAACGCUGGCGGCAGGCCUAACACAUGCAAGUCGAACGGUAACAGGAAGCAGCUUGCUGCUUUGCUGACGAGUGGCGGACGGGUGAGUAAUGUCUGGGAAACUGCCUGAUGGAGGGGGAUAACUACUGGAAACGGUAGCUAAUACCGCAUAACGUCGCAAGACCAAAGAGGGGGACCUUCGGGCCUCUUGCCAUCGGAUGUGCCCAGAUGGGAUUAGCUUGUUGGUGGGGUAACGGCUCACCAAGGCGACGAUCCCUAGCUGGUCUGAGAGGAUGACCAGCCACACUGGAACUGAGACACGGUCCAGACUCCUACGGGAGGCAGCAGUGGGGAAUAUUGCACAAUGGGCGCAAGCCUGAUGCAGCCAUGC
Molecule: ribosomal RNA, 400 nt
Filed under: Escherichia coli
Lineage: Bacteria; Pseudomonadati; Pseudomonadota; Gammaproteobacteria; Enterobacterales; Enterobacteriaceae
Also listed under: 1 other name
Description: bacterial SSU rRNA
Rfam family: Bacterial small subunit ribosomal RNA
Source: RNAcentral